This 1500-nucleotide ribosomal RNA is filed under the name Klebsiella pneumoniae. RNAcentral's name for it is "bacterial SSU rRNA". It matches the Rfam family "Bacterial small subunit ribosomal RNA". The record is from RNAcentral. Lineage: Bacteria; Pseudomonadati; Pseudomonadota; Gammaproteobacteria; Enterobacterales; Enterobacteriaceae.
AGAGUUUGAUCAUGGCUCAGAUUGAACGCUGGCGGCAGGCCUAACACAUGCAAGUCGAGCGGUAGCACAGAGAGCUUGCUCUCGGGUGACGAGCGGCGGACGGGUGAGUAAUGUCUGGGAAACUGCCUGAUGGAGGGGGAUAACUACUGGAAACGGUAGCUAAUACCGCAUAAUGUCGCAAGACCAAAGUGGGGGACCUUCGGGCCUCAUGCCAUCAGAUGUGCCCAGAUGGGAUUAGCUAGUAGGUGGGGUAACGGCUCACCUAGGCGACGAUCCCUAGCUGGUCUGAGAGGAUGACCAGCCACACUGGAACUGAGACACGGUCCAGACUCCUACGGGAGGCAGCAGUGGGGAAUAUUGCACAAUGGGCGCAAGCCUGAUGCAGCCAUGCCGCGUGUGUGAAGAAGGCCUUCGGGUUGUAAAGCACUUUCAGCGGGGAGGAAGGCGNUCGAUUGACGUUACCCGCAGAAGAAGCACCGGCUAACUCCGUGCCAGCAGCCGCGGUAAUACGGAGGGUGCAAGCGUUAAUCGGAAUUACUGGGCGUAAAGCGCACGCAGGCGGUCUGUCAAGUCGGAUGUGAAAUCCCCGGGCUCAACCUGGGAACUGCAUUCGAAACUGGCAGGCUAGAGUCUUGUAGAGGGGGGUAGAAUUCCAGGUGUAGCGGUGAAAUGCGUAGAGAUCUGGAGGAAUACCGGUGGCGAAGGCGGCCCCCUGGACAAAGACUGACGCUCAGGUGCGAAAGCGUGGGGAGCAAACAGGAUUAGAUACCCUGGUAGUCCACGCCGUAAACGAUGUCGAUUUGGAGGUUGUGCCCUUGAGGCGUGGCUUCCGGAGCUAACGCGUUAAAUCGACCGCCUGGGGAGUACGGCCGCAAGGUUAAAACUCAAAUGAAUUGACGGGGGCCCGCACAAGCGGUGGAGCAUGUGGUUUAAUUCGAUGCAACGCGAAGAACCUUACCUGGUCUUGACAUCCACAGAACUUNUUGGUGCCUUCGGGAACUGUGAGACAGGUGCUGCAUGGCUGUCGUCAGCUCGUGUUGUGAAAUGUUGGGUUAAGUCCCGCAACGAGCGCAACCCUUAUCCUUUGUUGCCAGCGGUCCGGCCGGGAACUCAAAGGAGACUGCCAGUGAUAAACUGGAGGAAGGUGGGGAUGACGUCAAGUCAUCAUGGCCCUUACGACCAGGGCUACACACGUGCUACAAUGGCAUAUACAAAGAGAAGCGACCUCGCGAGAGCAAGCGGACCUCAUAAAGUAUGUCGUAGUCCGGAUUGGAGUCUGCAACUCGACUCCAUGAAGUCGGAAUCGCUAGUAAUCGUAGAUCAGAAUGCUACGGUGAAUACGUUCCCGGGCCUUGUACACACCGCCCGUCACACCAUGGGAGUGGGUUGCAAAAGAAGUAGGUAGCUUAACCUUCGGGAGGGCGCUUACCACUUUGUGAUUCAUGACUGGGGUGAAGUCGUAACAAGGUAACCGUAGGGGAACCUGCGGUUGGAUCACCU